RNAcentral lists this ribosomal RNA (799 nucleotides) under uncultured archaeon. RNAcentral describes it as "bacterial SSU rRNA". It matches the Rfam family "Archaeal small subunit ribosomal RNA", at positions 140 to 922 of the family's 1478-position model. The record is from RNAcentral.
CUGGGACUAAUAUCCGAUAGAUUAGGAGGCCUGGAAUGGUUCUUAGUCGAAAGGGCUUUGAAACCAUGCUUUUCAACGUUGCCUAAGGAUGGGGCCGCGCCCGAUCAGGCUGUUGGUGGGGUAAUGGCUCACCAAACCUAUAACCGGUGCGGGCCGUGAGAGCGGGAGCCCGGAGAUGGGCACUGAGACAAGGGCCCAGGCCCUACGGGGCGCAGCAGUCGCGAAAACUCCGCAAUGCGCGAAAGCGUGACGGGGCUACCCCGAGUGCCGUCCGCUGAGGAUGGCUUUUCCCCGGUGUAAUGAGCCGGGGGAAUAAGGAGAGGGCAAGUCUGGUGUCAGCCGCCGCGGUAAUACCAGCUCUCCGAGUGGUAGGGACGAUUAUUGGGCUUAAAGCGUCCGUAGCCGGCUUAGCAAGUCUCCUGUUAAAUUCAGCGACCUAAUCGUUGAGCCGCGGGAGAUACUACUAGGCUAGGAGGCGGGAGAGGCCGACGGUAUUCUCGGGGUAGGGGUGAAAUCCUAUAAUCCCGGGAGGACCACCAGUGGCGAAGGCUGUCGGCUAGAACGGGCUCGACGGUGAGGGACGAAAGCUGGGGGAGCGAACCGGAUUAGAUACCCGGGUAGUCCCAGCUGUAAACGAUGCGGGCUAGGUGUUGGGGUGGCUACGAGCCACUUCAGUGCCGCAGGGAAGCCAUUAAGCCCGCCGCCUGGGGAGUACGGCCGCAAGGCUGAAACUUAAAGGAAUUGGCGGGGGAGCACCACAAGGCGUGAAGCUUGCGGUUCAAUUGGAGUCAACGCCGGA